CCCAGACUCCUACGGGAGGCAGCAGUGGGGAAUAUUGCACAAUGGGGGGAACCCUGAUGCAGCGACGCCGCGUGGGUGAAGGAGUACUUCGGUACGUAAAGCCCUAUCAGCAGGAAAGAAAAUGACGGUACCUGACUAAGAAGCCCCGGCUAACUACGUGCCAGCAGCCGCGGUAAUACGUAGGGGGCAAGCGUUAUCCGGAUUUACUGGGUGUAAAGGGAGCGUAGACGGCAGUGCAAGUCCGGAGUGAAAGCCCGGGGCUCAACCCUGGGACUGCUCUGGAAACUGUAAAGCUGGAGUGCGGGAGGGGCAGGCGGAAUUCCUGGUGUAGCGGUGAAAUGCGUAGAUAUCAGGAGGAACACCGGCGGCGAAGGCGGCCUGCUGGACCGUAACUGACGUUGAGGCUCGAAGGCGUGGGGAGCAAACAGGAUUAGAUACCCCAGUAGG
RNAcentral lists this ribosomal RNA (447 nucleotides) under uncultured bacterium. RNAcentral's name for it is "bacterial SSU rRNA". It matches the Rfam family "Bacterial small subunit ribosomal RNA", at positions 330 to 794 of the family's 1533-position model. The record is from RNAcentral.